Molecule: long non-coding RNA, 2911 nt
Organism: Thunnus maccoyii (southern bluefin tuna)
Lineage: Eukaryota; Metazoa; Chordata; Actinopteri; Scombriformes; Scombridae
Exons: 2
Source: RefSeq, a predicted model, not a curated record
ACUUUUGCAAUGAGUAAAAAACACAAGAAAUAAAACAUCUGACAUGUAUCAAACUUAUCAGACAACCUCAACAUUGUUAAACUUGUGUGUUGGUGCAACAUUACAAUGACUUCUUAUCAUCAAACAUGAUAAAACGUACUGUGACUGUUUUCUAUACAUCAUCUAAAAUUUGACUUUGUUGAAUCAUUAUUCGUGGUAUCAAAAAGAAACAACUACUUUUGCCAGAAAUAGACAAUUUAAUAUAUAUAUAAUCCCCUUCCAUAUGUGACACAUGUACAUUUUACCAUAAUUAAAAAAAUGCACUUUUACCAAUUUGAUACUUAUUUUACAUAAUUACAAUUUCUUCUUUUAAAUUUUAUCCUUUAAAUCUGUCAGUAUGUGAUAAAUACAGAAAAUCUUUGAAUCUUGAUUCCUCAGCUGCCUGGUUGAAAGUGUUUUUAGGGAAAAUUACAGAGCGAGACAAACUCUCAGAGGCGUGCGUUAAAAUCUUUGUUUAGUAAAUCCUUUAAAAUAAGACGACAUCAAGUUUUACUGUUGAAAACUUCCAUCACAAACACGCCUCCAGCUCUGUGAUUUUCCUGCCACUAAUUCUUUGAAAACCACUGAAUCCUCCUUUAAAGAUUUUAAAUGUUGGUUCAUGUGAACAGUGUGAAUCAGACACAUGAAUAAAAAAAACACUCCGCAGCGUCGUUUAGUUUCCAUUUGGCCUUUUUUUUUUAUUCAUCAAAACACACAUACGUAUCUCAGGCUCCAUCAUCACAGUAUUUCUAGUCAAAGUCGGACCUUCCUGUGGUGUCAGCAGGUCCAUCUCUACAUCGUGUGUACAUCAGAGGCAGGCUGGGCCAACAGUUUUAGUUCAAACACAAAAAAAAAAGUCAACAAAAAAAAAAAAUAAAAAAAAAUAAAAAAAAAAAAUAGCAAAGAGUUACAGAGUCAUGUAAAGUUUCACCAGCAGAUACAGUGUUGAGUCUACAGUCUGUUAACCUAGGCAGCUUCAGCCGGACACGACCAGAAGAAGACAAAGAAUCUGAGACUAAAAAAAAAAAAAAAAAAAGGAAGGAGAGGAUACAGAUUGUAGCUGGAACAAACAUCCUCAGAGGGAAUGAAACGCCGUCGCCGCCGCUGCCGCCGGUGGAGACGACUCGUCCUAAAAACCCGACGAACUGAAGCGUCACAUUCAGACGCUCCAGCUGUACGACGACAGCAGAGCAAGAAAACAAGAGACUAAAAGCAACGUAGAGCUUAAAGCCAAAACUUAACUAGCUCGUGUUUAUUCUAAGAAGAACAGGAGGAGGGAACAAAAAAAAAGGUUAAAGGUCACCUGACAUGGAAGCGGGGGACCUCCGGUUCACCACGAGGCCCAAAAACUCACCAACAACCAGAGAGACAAACACCCAUAACAUCUCUGAUCAGCUCUGGCUGCCCCCCCCCCCCUCACCUCCCCUCCCCUCCGUCCACUGAUUACUGGUCAAAACCCAUCAGCCAAUCACUGCAGAGCUUGCUCAUCAUUGGUGGAAUGAGUCACAGACUUUUGACAGCAGAGUUUUAGUGUUUAACUGUCUGAAAACUGAAUUUUGACACAAAAAAAAGGACAAAAGCAGACAGACAGCUGCUCUACAGUAGUUAUUGUUCUUUUUAUCAGAUGCACCAAACCAGUUUUAUUUCAGAUUUUUAAAAAGUCUCCCAAAACUGGACACGGACACCACAGAACCAGGAAGUAUUCAGAUAUUCUGAAGGUCUGAUGUUUUCCCUCCAAGGUUUUAUUACAUGAAAUAAUUCCAUGAUGAAUUUUUUUUUAAAAAAAAAACACACACUAGUGAGGCUAACAGUGGACAUUUUAUCCUGAUGGUGGCGCCGGAGGAAAGGUCAGAGGUCACCAGGAAGAGGAUUCUUGAUGAAACUGAAUGAUAGUUGUUGAGCUGUUAAGUGUUGGACGGACACACGGACUGUUCACGUUCACGUUCUCCUCCCGUGUUACUGAAACCUGUCAGAGACUUUAUGGACAUUUUCUGUUUCUUUAGGUGUGAAAGGUCAUAGAGGUCAUGUGACCAGCAGCAGCAGCAGCAGACGACAACAAAACUAAUUUAAAUUAUAAAUCCUUAAAAACGACACCCGUGGUUACCGGCGGUAACGCAAGACAUCAGUUUGACCUUCGUUUUGUUUCCUCGUCGUUACGCGACACGUUCGCACUAAUUACAUCCAACUUCUAAUGAAAACGAACAUAUAAAAGGUUACUGAUGAGUAAAUACAUGUAAGAGCUUCAGCAGAAUGAUUGGUAGCGAUAAACGGGAUGAAAAUUGUGUUUGAUAUGAUGAAAAUGUUCAGGAUUAUAACUUUAACUCAAGGGUCCACUUACUCGCUUUUUACUUCAGUUAAGAUGAUUUUAUUGAGCUCAUGUUUCUCAGGUCAAGAAUGAACUCUGACGCUCAAGUGCCGUCUCUUUUAAAAAUGGGGCUAAACUUGGUGAAGGUUUGGAGGAGGUUGGGUGAAGGUUUGGCGGAGGUUGGGUGAAGGUUUGGCGGAGGUUUGGAGGAGGUGUGAGCGGUGCAGCAGGUGGACGGGUGUGAGGUUAAGCGCCUGAGUUUUUCCCUUAGUGCCUUUUUCUUUUCAUAUGGGGUUAAUGAAAGAGGGACUGGGUGUCCGUCCACCUGCUGACAGUUCAGUUUCAGUCCAAACAAACAAACAAACAAACAGGACAGCAGAUCAUUUUACUGAUGAAAGUGAAGGAAAAAAGGCUGCAAAAAUUAGCCGAUGGACAGAAGAUGAAGAGCUUCCAGCAUCUUAAAAUGUGACGGCACAUCUGAUGUUUUGGGGAAACAGUGAUUUUGACACAUUUUAUAAACCGAACGACAAACAGAUUAACGAGGAGACGAAGUGUCGCAGCUGCAGCGUGCAAACAUUCAACCUGAGG